This 105-nucleotide small nuclear RNA is filed under the name Ornithorhynchus anatinus (platypus). The record is from RNAcentral. Lineage: Eukaryota; Metazoa; Chordata; Mammalia; Monotremata; Ornithorhynchidae.
CUGGCUACGGCAGCCACAUAUUCUAAAAUUUGAAUGAUACAGAGAAGAUUUGCAUGGCCCCCGUGCAAGGAUGACACACAAAUUGGUGAAGCGUUUCAUAUUUUU